AGCAGCAGCCGCGGUAAUACAGAGGGUGCAAGCGUUAAUCGGAAUUACUGGGCGUAAAGCGCGCGUAGGUGGUUUGUUAAGUUGGAUGUGAAAUCCCCGGGCUCAACCUGGGAACUGCAUCCAAAACUGGCAAGCUAGAGUAUGGUAGAGGGUGGUGGAAUUUCCUGUGUAGCGGUGAAAUGCGUAGAUAUAGGAAGGAACACCAGUGGCGAAGGCGACCACCUGGACUGAUACUGACACUGAGGUGCGAAAGCGUGGGGAGCAAACAGGAUUAGAUACCCCAGUAGUCCCUGUCUCUUAUAC
Molecule: ribosomal RNA, 303 nt
Filed under: uncultured bacterium
Lineage: Bacteria
Description: partial 16S ribosomal RNA
Rfam family: Bacterial small subunit ribosomal RNA
Source: RNAcentral